RNA transcript from Glycine soja, 1073 nucleotides. It is a transcript of the gene named granule-bound starch synthase 1, chloroplastic/amyloplastic-like, with no coding region annotated. The transcript is spliced from 8 exons. The record is from RefSeq and is a predicted model, not a curated record. NCBI's taxonomy places the organism in Eukaryota, Viridiplantae, Streptophyta, Magnoliopsida, Fabales, Fabaceae.
CUGACGGUGAAAACUCAAAAGAAACCACGUCAUUCAUUCCUCUCUUACGUUCUCUCAGUCUCGCGAUUUCUCGUGAGUCCUCUCUCAGUCUAGCGAUUCCUUUCUCGUUGUGGCACUUUCACCCUCAUGUUCCUUGACAUCUCUAUCAAUUUCUCUUCGAUUUGAUGUUGAAUUCAUCACUCUAUCCAAUGUGAUUGUAGAGUUCAAGUUGAAGACUACUAUGCAAAGGUGAGAAAAUGGAACAAGCGAUAUUGACCUAGGACCGUACAAUAGGGAAAAUGGAAUACAAAUUUAGAGCAGGUUCAAAAUGAUAAAAACUCUAUUACAAGUUCAGAAUCCACCUAAUUUAUAUGUGCAACUGUGAAGUUAUUCCUUAGCAGUUAAAAGAUGAUAGAGCUCAAAAGCUUGCUCUACAGCCCUAGCUUGAGGUGAUAAUGAUAUGGUUAGGUCAUUUCACCUGAAAAAUUCAAGCUUCAUUGACUUGAGAGAACUUGAGCACACAAGAAAGCUAGCUGUGGAACUUGAGCUUACAAUCUUUUGCUUUCUAGUGGAGGAACUUUCAGAGGAACUAGUGUGCUAAUGUGGGCAAAUUUUGAAGCAGCUGAAGAACUUACUAUCAGGAAGCAAUUGUGGACAUUAUCAAAAAGAAUGGGUGUUGGAAUGACAAAAUUUAUUUGCCAGGUACCCAUAAUUUUUUCCACUUGUGGACUUGUUGACACCGUUCAAGAAGGGUAUACUGGAUUCCACAUGGGAGCAUUCAACGUAGAAAUCAGUGAUUACUUGAAUGUGACUAUUUUGUUGGUUAUUGUGAGUGCUGGAUAUCAUCUCAGCUUGGCUAGGUGUUUUGGGACAUAAAUACUUUAGUUUAUUUUUGUGAUUAUGUGAUUUUACUUAGAUGUGGUUAUUGUAGAUGCUAGAUAUCAUCUCAUCUUUGUUAGGUGUUUUGGGAUACAUAAAUACUCUUAUUUGUUUUUGUGAUUAAUGUGACUUCCCCGGGAAAUGGACCUUUGUCCCCUUCAUCCCUCAGAGAAAGAGGAGUUUUAUUAGUCCAUGUUUGUGAAUUUUCAAUGUUU